AUGCCCUUUUCUACUUUGAUUGAGAAUAAUAAUGAAUCUAUUGAUGUGAAUUUUAUUGGUACGAACAAUUUUGGUAACAAUGCGUAUAGAGGAAAUUUCAAUCCUAGGCCUUAUCCUAGUAAUCCCUCUAAUAAUUAUGGUAAUUCCUACAGCAAUUCUUAUGGAAAUUAUAAUAAGAUCCCCUCUGAUUUUGAAUCUAAUAUUAAAGAAUUUAUUACUUCGCAAAAGAAUUUUAAUGCUAUGAUUGAAGAAAAAUUGCUUAAGAUUGAUGAUUUGGCUAGGAACGUUGAUAGAAUUUCUCUUGAUGUUGAUUCUUUGAAACUUAGAUCUAUUCCACCUAAGCAUGAUAUCAAUGAGUCUCUCAAAGCCAUGAGAAUUUCCAUUGAUGAGUGCAAAGAAAGAGCCGCUAGGAUGCGUGCUAAGAAAGAUGCCUUUAUAAGAGCGUGUUCUUCUAGUUCCUAUGAAAAUAAAGGUGAAGAUCUAAAAGUUAUUAAUGUGUACCCUAUUAAAUCUUUGUUUUGCAAUAUGAAUCUUGAUAAUGAUGGGACUGAAUAUGAUCCACCUUUACCUAGAAGGCGUUCCAAGAAUGCGGAAUUUGUUGAUCUUGAUGCUAAAUUUGAUAAAAGUGGGAUUGAAGAAAUUAAAACUUUAGAUGUUGCUAAACCCACUAUUAUGGAUUUCAAGGAAUUUAACUAUGAAAAUUGCUCUUUGAUUGAUUGUAUUUCCUUGUUGCAAUCCGUGCUAAAUUCUCCUCACGCUUAUAGUCAAAAUAAAGCCUUUACUAAACAUAUCGUUGAUGCCUUGAUGCAAUCUUAUGAAGAAAAACUUGAAUUGGAAGUUUCUAUCCCUAGAAAACUUUAUGAUGAGUGGGAACCAACUAUUAAAAUUAAAAUUAAAGAUCAUGAAUGCUAUGCUUUAUGUGAUUUGGGUGCUAGUGUUUCCACGAUUCCAAAGACUUUGUGUGAUUUGUUAGGUUUCCGUGAUUUUGAUGAUUGCUCUCUAAACUUGCGCCUUGCAGAUUCCAUUAUUAAAAAACCUAUGGGAAGAAUUAAUGAUGUUCUUAUUGUUGCAAAUAGGAAUUAUGUGCCCGUAGAUUUUAUUGUUCUUGACAUAGAUUGUAAUCCUUCAUGUCCUAUUAUUCUUGGUAGACCUUUCCUUAGAAUGAUUGGUGCAAUUAUUCAUAUGAAGGAAGGAAAUAUUAGAUUCCAAUUUCCAUUAAGGAAAGGCAUGGAAAAAUUUCCUAGAAAUAAAAUUAAAUUUCCUUAUGAAUCUAUUAUGAGAGCCACUUAUGGAUUGCAUACCAAAUAUGGCAAUACCUAG
This 1320-nucleotide ribosomal RNA is filed under the name Triticum aestivum (bread wheat). Its description in RNAcentral is "partial small subunit ribosomal RNA". Lineage: Eukaryota; Viridiplantae; Streptophyta; Magnoliopsida; Poales; Poaceae. The record is from RNAcentral.